GACGAACGCUGGCGGCGUGCUUAACACAUGCAAGUCGAACGGUGACGCUGGAGCUUGCUCCGGCUGAUCAGUGGCGAGCGGGUGAGUAACACGUGAGCAACCUGCCCUUGACUCUGGGAUAACCCCGGGAAACCGGAGCUAAUACCGGAUACGAACCGCACGGGCAUCUGCGCGGUUGGAAAGCUUUAUCGGUCAAGGAUGGGCUCGCGGCCUAUCAGCUUGUUGGUGGGGUAACGGCCCACCAAGGCGACGACGGGUAGCCGGCCUGGGAGGGCGACCGGCCAGACUGGGACUGAGACACGGCCCAGACUGCUACGGGAGGCAGCAGUGGGGAAUAUUGCACAAUGGGCGAAAGCCUGAUGCAGCGACGCCGCGUGAGGGACGAAGGCCUUCGGGUUGUAAACCUCUUUCAGCAGGGAAGAAGCGAAAGUGACGGUACCUGCAGAAGAAGCACCGGCUAACUACGUGCCAGCCGCCGCGGUAA
RNAcentral lists this ribosomal RNA (484 nucleotides) under uncultured bacterium. RNAcentral's name for it is "partial 16S ribosomal RNA". It matches the Rfam family "Bacterial small subunit ribosomal RNA", at positions 28 to 523 of the family's 1533-position model. The record is from RNAcentral.